GAUGAACGCUGGCGGCGUGCCUAAUACAUGCAAGUCGAGCGAACGGACGAGAAGCUUGCUUCUCUGAUGUUAGCGGCGGACGGGUGAGUAACACGUGGAUAACCUACCUAUAAGACUGGGAUAACUUCGGGAAACCGGAGCUAAUACCGGAUAAUAUUUUGAACCGCAUGGUUCAAAAGUGAAAGACGGUCUUGCUGUCACUUAUAGAUGGAUCCGCGCUGCAUUAGCUAGUUGGUAAGGUAACGGCUUACCAAGGCAACGAUGCAUAGCCGACCUGAGAGGGUGAUCGGCCACACUGGAACUGAGACACGGUCUAGACUCCUACGGGAGGCAGCAGUAGGGAAUCUUCCGCAAUGGGCGAAAGCCUGACGGAGCAACGCCGCGUGAGUGAUGAAGGUCUUCGGAUCGUAAAACUCUGUUAUUAGGGAAGAACAUAUGUGUAAGUAACUGUGCACAUCUUGGCGGUACCUAAUCAGAAAGCCACGGCUAACUACGUG
RNAcentral lists this ribosomal RNA (497 nucleotides) under uncultured bacterium. RNAcentral describes it as "partial 16S ribosomal RNA". It matches the Rfam family "Bacterial small subunit ribosomal RNA", at positions 28 to 507 of the family's 1533-position model. The record is from RNAcentral.